This 497-nucleotide ribosomal RNA is filed under the name uncultured bacterium. RNAcentral's name for it is "partial 16S ribosomal RNA". It matches the Rfam family "Bacterial small subunit ribosomal RNA", at positions 28 to 507 of the family's 1533-position model. The record is from RNAcentral.
GAUGAACGCUGGCGGCGUGCCUAAUACAUGCAAGUCGAGCGAACAGACGAGGAGCUUGCUCCUCUGACGUUAGCGGCGGACGGGUGAGUAACACGUGGAUAACCUACCUAUAAGACUGGGAUAACUUCGGGAAACCGGAGCUAAUACCGGAUAAUAUAUUGAACCGCAUGGUUCAAUAGUGAAAGACGGUUUUGCUGUCACUUAUAGAUGGAUCCGCGCUGCAUUAGCUAGUUGGUAAGGUAACGGCUUACCAAGGCAACGAUGCGUAGCCGACCUGAGAGGGUGAACAGCCACACUGGAACUGAGACACGGUCCAGGCUCCUACGGGAGGCAGCAGUAGGGAAUCUUCCGCAAUGGGGGAAAGCCUGACGGAGCAACGCCGCGUGAGUGAUGAAGGUCUUCGGAUCGUAAAACUCUGUUAUUAGGGAAGAACAAAUGUGUAAGUAACUAUGCACGUCUUGACGGUACCUAAUCAGAAAGCCACGGCUAACUACGUG